CACCGCUUUGCUGCUUCUCCUGCUGCUAUGGAGCGAUCCAUCCGCGAAUGCCCAGCAAGCCUACGUCGAAUCCGACCAAGAGGGCUAUAGCUGCGUCAGUAACUCCACUUCCUGCCAGGCCUACGCAGCGUACCGAGCUCUCCAGGGCGACACUCUCCAGUCGGUCGGCCUCCGCUUUCGAUUGAGCGUGGAGCAGCUCGCCGAGGCCUCGCAAAUCGCCCAGUCCGCGACGCUCGUCCCCGACCAGGUCCUCCUCAUCCCCUUGAACUGCUCCUGCGCCUCCGGACGCUCCCAGUUCAACGCCACCUACAUCAUCCAGUCAGGAGAUACGCUCUAUCUCGUCUCCAACGGGACCUUCCAAGGAUUGACGACGUACCAGGCGGUGGAGCGCGCAAACCCACUGGCGGUUCCCACGAACUUGCAGCCUGGCGAUUCGAUAGUCUUCCCCAUCCGCUGCGCAUGCCCGAGCUCCGCACAAGUCGCCGCGGGGGUGACGUCGCUGGUGACUUACAGCAUCUGGCCGGGGGAGAUCUUGGACGGGAUCGCCAGGGCCUGGAACGUUUCACGGACUCGGCUAGCUUCCGAUAAUACGGUGUCCGGGAGUGCUGUCCAGGACUCCAACUUGCAAGCCUUCACGACACUGCUGCUUCCGGCGAGCCAAGACCCGCCACCGCUGCCUCGCCAGACGCUUUCGCCGGCGGCUCCGCCUCCCGCGAAUAAUCCCCCAAAUAAUUCUCCUUCUCCGGACUCUUCGUCGUCUUCCGGCAGCAACACUGGGAUGUACGUUGGCAUUGCAGUGGCCUGCGUAGCGGCGGUUCUUCUCGUCGUCGUGGCGCUCGUCAUCUUCUACAGGCGGAGGUCGAGAAAGGUGACGAAGGCGUCCUUGCAGAAGUCCAGCUAUGGCCACGGCGGCAGCAAGGAUGACCGCAACUUUGGCGCGUUUGGGAGCUCCGUGAGCA
This 959-nucleotide long non-coding RNA is filed under the name Selaginella moellendorffii. RNAcentral describes it as "long non-coding RNA (SMOE_LNC002124)". The record is from RNAcentral. Lineage: Eukaryota; Viridiplantae; Streptophyta; Lycopodiopsida; Selaginellales; Selaginellaceae.